UAGGGAAUCUUCGGCAAUGGACGGAAGUCUGACCGAGCAACGCCGAGUGAGUGAAGAAGGUUUUCGGAUCGUAAAGCUCUGUUGUUAGAGAAGAACGUUGGUAGGAGUGGAAAAUCUACCAAGUGACGGUAACUAACCAGAAAGGGACGGCUAACUACGUGCCAGCAGCCGCGGUAAUACGUAGGUCCCGAGCGUUGUCCGGAUUUAUUGGGCGUAAAGCGAGCGCAGGCGGUUCUUUAAGUCUGAAGUUAAAGGCAGUGGCUUAACCAUUGUACGCUUUGGAAACGGGAGGACUUGAGUUCAAAAGGGGAGAGUGGAAUUCCAUGUGUAGCGGUGAAAUGCGUAGAUAUAUGGAGGAACACCGGUGGCGAAAGCGGCUCUCUGGUCUGUAACUGACGCUGAGGCUCGAAAGCGUGGGGAUCAAAAAGG
This 429-nucleotide ribosomal RNA is filed under the name Bacillota bacterium. Its description in RNAcentral is "Firmicutes bacterium partial 16S ribosomal RNA". It matches the Rfam family "Bacterial small subunit ribosomal RNA", at positions 355 to 776 of the family's 1533-position model. The record is from RNAcentral. Lineage: Bacteria; Bacillati; Bacillota.